Diabrotica virgifera virgifera (western corn rootworm) is the source of this 4320-nucleotide RNA transcript. It is a transcript of the gene named inter-alpha-trypsin inhibitor heavy chain H4, with no coding region annotated. NCBI's taxonomy places the organism in Eukaryota, Metazoa, Arthropoda, Insecta, Coleoptera, Chrysomelidae. The transcript has 12 exons. The record is from RefSeq and is a predicted model, not a curated record.
CAUUAUCUUUCGGAUAACCUCUAACAUUUUAUUACUAAACAAAAAAUAUUAAUCAAUUAGGUAGCUAUAUAUUCAACUGUUUCAUUUAAUAAUUAUGUGUUUUAGAUUAAAAAUAGUAUAGAACAGUCAAAAUGAAUGGUAUAUUGUUUGCCUUGGUGGCGAGUGUGUGCCUGGGAGGGGCAUUUUGCAUCCCUGGUUUAGUUGUAAGGGGUAUUCGUAGUGCAAAAGAGGGUCUCGAUGGCCAGGAAGCACAAAACCAAGAUCCAAUUAUCUCGGAAUUCAACAUACAUUCCAACAUCUCGAACAGAUUUGCCAAGACUUUGGUCACUAGUAAAGUUAAAAAUGCAGAAAAGAAUCCAAAAGAAGCCACGUUUACCGUGGUUUUACCAGAAAAAGCAUUUAUUUCCAAAUUUGUAAUGGAAAUAGGUGGCAAGAGCUACGAGGCUUAUGUUAAAGAAAAAGAAGAAGCUAAAAAUAUCUACGAUUCGGCUGUUCGGCAAGGAAUAAGUGCUGGUCACGUCUCAGUUAGUGCUCGAGACUCCAACAGAUUCACAGUAUCUAUCAACGUUGAACCAGAAAGUAAAGCAACUUUCCAUCUUACCUAUGAAGAACUUUUGGAAAGAAAAAAUAACCAGUACGAGCUGGUACUGAAUAUUCACCCUGGCCAAGUAGUUAAAGAUAUGAAUAUUGAGGUCUUUGUGAAUGAAAGUCGUCCUUUGAAAUUUGUAAAAACUCCUUCGCUGAGGUCGGGAAACGAAAUUAGCAAAAACGAUGCCAACCUUGACCCAGCUGCAGACAUCCAAAUAAUCAACUCUACCAGUGCUGUCGUUAAAUUCAAACCAAACUCCGACAAACAGAGGGAGUUUGCAAAAGAACUGGGGCAGAAAGAAAAUGAGGGUAUAGCUGGACAAUUUGUUGUACAGUAUGAUGUAGAUAGAGAUUCUCAAAAAGGAGAGAUUCUUCUCAAAGAUGGAUACUUCGUACAUUUCUUUGCUCCUGAAGACGUCGAACCACUUCCAAAACAUGUAGUUUUCAUCUUGGACACCAGCGGAAGUAUGUAUGGAAGAAAACUCAGGCAAAUGAAGGAAGCCAUGGGUAGUAUUUUAGAUCAGCUCAAAGAUACAGAUGCCUUCCAUAUAGUGGAAUUUAAUAGUGAUAUCUUAGUUUGGAAUAUAGAUUCAGAAUCAAAAACCAGUUUGAGGGUUCACAAUGAAAGAGAGCCUUUUGAAGAACUUUCUAAACUUGAAUUGCCAAACGCCUUAGCAGCUACCAAAGAAGCUAUUUCUAAAGGAAAAGCAGUAAUAGAGAAGCUUCAAGACACUGGAUUGACGAACAUGUUAGGUAGUAUCGAAACUGGUCUGCAUUUAGUCCACAAAGAACUGAAAAGUGGGUCAAAACGUCAACCACUCAUUAUCUUUUUGACAGACGGAGACCCGACCAUGGGAAUUUCAAAUACUGAAGAGAUUACCAAGAUUGUAACCAAAAUCAACGGCGAUAGAGACCACGUACCAAUCUUUUCUCUAUCAUUUGGAGACGGAGCAGACAAAAAGUUCUUAAGAAAACUAUCAUUGAAGAACCUAGGAUUUGCCAGACACAUUUAUGAAGGAGCUGACGCUGCUAUUCAACUCCAGGAGUUUUACAAGCAAAUCUCUUCUCCACUUUUAUCAAACAUCGAAUUUGAGUACACUGACGACGUCACUGAAGUAUCCAAAAAGACGUUCCCUAUUUACUUUAAGGGAUCAGAGUUGGUAGUUACCGGAAAGUAUCCAAUCGACGAAGGAUUUGACAUCUCCAAUUGGAGAGUAAAGAGUUGGAGCAAACACGGUCUCAUCUCACUACCACCAGUAAGGGAAGCUCCAGUUACCGAAUUGGAACGUUUGUGGGCCUAUUUAACCAUCAAGCAAAAACUGGAACAACGAGAGUUAGCAGAAAAUAAAACACAGCUAACCAAGGAAGCUCUGGAUCUGGCGCUGAAAUAUUCCUUUGUUACUGAUGUUAGUUCCUUGGUAGUUGUCAAACCGAAUCAAACCAGUGCUGUUAAUACUGAAGAUGCUUCAAAACCAAGAUCUGAAACGCUUCCAUUAAGAACGUACAGUAGUGGGUCAGUUUCAUAUGGUAUGCCAGGCUUGCCAGGACCACCAGCACAAGCUUUUGGUGCACGUUCAUAUUUUGGAUAGAUGCCGAUGGAAGGAGUUUAGAGAGGCCUAUGUCCAAACGUGGACGAUAGAAGGCUAAGAAGAAGAUGGAAUCCAACCGCAGACACGUGUUUCUGACUCACUACUCGUCAUUAGACGGUAUAGCGUAGUUAGAAUAGUUAUAUAUCUUAACUUGGGAAAGGAUCACGACAUGAGGAAUGUAAUCUUGCAAACUUAAAAAUGUAAAUGAUAUUUUAUUAUCACUAGACUUAGGCAAAUAUGCAAAUAAAAAAGUAUGAAAUAUGCGCAUAAAUAUGCAGUAUUUUACCCAAAAAUAUGCAUAUUUAUCUAAAAAAUAUGCAUGUAAUAAAAGCAAUAUUUAAAAUAUUUUUUUAUUUACAAAAAUAUUUACAAUAUAUUCACAUGUUUUAUUAAUUAACAUGUACCUAAUACAUAUCUGUAUUUUAAAAACCAAGCCUAUGUAAUUAAAUAUUUAAGUAUUUCAACAAAUAAAUGAUAUAUUUCGAAUUGUGGUAACAAUAAAUUAUUAAAUGCUGUUCAAAAUUUUCAAUUUUUUUUUCAAAUUUAAGAUAAUAGGUGGUUCUAAAUUAAGUGGUUCGGAAAAUGUCCCAGCUUGCACUUGAAUCACUUCAGAAAGAACCUGGUAACUACUGUUAAUUUCCAUGGUUGCUUCAAAUUUUUCAAAAAUUUCCUUCCCAAUAUGUAUGACUUUUAAUGUUUUGAUACAAUGAUUCCAAUUCUUUUAUUAAAAAUAUACUGUCUAACAAUGAUAAUUUGGAAGAUUCUAAUUGGGAAAUAGUUUUAUGAACAAAACUCUAGUUUGAUUUUAUGAAUGGUACUGAACUGCAUAUUUUCGGCAUUUUCAAAGCACAGUAAUUAUUCACAAUUACAAAGAUACUGCCUAUUUUACAACAAAAAUGAAAUCGUCAAAAUAAAAUUUUUUACCUAGAGCAGCGUUUCCCAACCGGCAUUUUCAAAGCACAGUAUAAUUAUUCACAAUUACAAAAACACUGCUUAUUUUACAACAAAAAUAAAAUCUUCAAAAUAAAAUUUUUUACCUAGACCUAGAGAUAUAAACUGGCAGAUUUUGGAACCCUUGUAUCAAGGACAAAACGUGACAAAAUAUAUAAGCUGGUAUCUUUUAUUAGUUAGUACAUUGCGAUACCAAAAAUUUGGAUAUUCUUUUUCUCAUGAUCAUCUUUCAGUGCGUCACAGUUUUUCGAUUUCUCUCUAACGCAUUAAAUUGUAUGUGACAGAAAAAAAGGCACGUCUGGGAAUACUUCGGUAAUUAUUCUAGUUCGGUGAUUAUUCUAGUUGUCGAUAGAUGGCGCCAUAAUCAAAAAAGAAUUAUUUAUUAAAUAAAAUAAUAAUAUUAUCAAUAUAAUCUGUACAAUUUAUAAGACUAUACAAAUGAAAGAAAAUACCAUUUUAUAAAUGCAAUAGACACAAUUGAUUUGGUUUUAUUCCAAAUUGAAAAUAAAAUUUGACAACUGUCAGAUUUAACUAAAAUGUCACGUUAGAAUAAAUGUCAUAAAUGUGUAUUAUCACGGACUUACCUUUUUUUCUAUAAUUUGUGACGCACUGAAAAAUGUUCAUGAAAAGGAGAAUACCUAGAUAUUAUAAAACAAAAUAAAAUAUUGAGAUUUCCAAGCUAUUUGUUAUCUGAAUAUAAAGAGAUAUGUAUAGUUACAACCAAAAUUCCAAAUUAUAUGCACUUUAUGCACACUUAUAUAAAAAUAUGCAGAAUUGUAAAUUUUUGAAUUUCUAAUGCAUAAUAUGCAAAAUAUGCAAUUUGCAUAUUUGCCUAAGUCUAAUUUAUCACUCUCUAGCUCAAACUCCUUCAUUUAUUCUGAUUACACGGAAUUUUGUUUUAAAUGUUCUAAUAAUCUUUUAUCUCUUUUUGCUGGCAAAUGAUCCUUCUCUAAGGUUUUCCCGAUGAAUAAUAACUUAUUUUUCCACCUACCUCUACCGAAAGUAUACUUUUCCGGACCUGAUUGUAGGGAGCAAAGUUGUACUUUUCCUCCCUAGGGAGGAAAAGUAAAAGUGACGUCAUGGUAUUUCAUUCAUGAAAUAUAACUUAUUGACGCCCUGUACAAUAUCUAUUUUCUAUUACAUCCUCAGCCAAGAUCGGGUGGAGGUGGAGCAUAUCAACCUCUUUCGCUAU